AUUUCAUUUACAUGUAAAUCAAGUUGUAGGACAGUGUACCAAACUGAACACUUUCUUCUUUGUUUGUAAGUUUCUAGGGUACACUGUAGUGAAAAGUUUUCUAACUAAUAGAGGUAUUUCUGAUUGAAAGUAACCAAACAAAUGUUUUGGCAUCUUUCCCAGAAAAGAAAAUUAUCCCUAUGACGCUUUGCAAGUAAGUAGGGAAAUUAUAAAUAAUCUAAAACUCAUAUUAGAAAGUUUAUAAGAAAUAUACACUAUGUGUGGAGAGCUAUUUUUUUCCCAUAAUCCAUUUAGGAUUUUGUGGUUCUAUCAGGAAGGGAAAAUGAACUCUCAAGAGAAAUUCCCCAUUAACAUUUCAUUCUGCACUUCAAAGAUCGUGACUGGUCACAUAGAACAGUUUGAAACCUAUUUGAAAUGUAAGAGCUGAUGAGUGAGAAAGGAGUGCAGUUUGAUGAUAGGUAGGAGAUCUGGCCCCUUGACUGCAUUGAAACCUACAGGGCUGGUGUCCUCUCAACACAUUACAGAGUAGCAACAGGACUCAUAGGAAAGUGCUCUCAUUGUCAGUGUACAUGGUGAGAAAGAAACAUGUGAAGCUGGCUUUGAAGCCAAUGAUCUGACUUGGCUCUUAUUUCUGGGAUAUAUGUUGUAUCCUCAGUUGCUUUUUGCAAAAGUAACUAUAAGAAUGCAUUAUAGCAACACCAACUUCUCCUUACUAAGGGACUCAGCUUUGGCUCCUCAGUUUCUCUGAUUUGGUUUACCCUAACCCUGUCAAUAGAUGUAAAAUAUUUGUAUUAUUUUAUUAACUCUAUUAGACAACAUUCACUAUCCUUCUUAAUUACAGACUGACCCUCUGUGACAUUCAAAAAUUCUAUUUUAGAAUAUGAAGAAUAAAUAAAGUGUUCUAUGCUCACCCUAACACUGUAUACUUAUUUUCCAUUUUUUUUUUUACAGUUGGCAUGACCCUCUUAUAGCCUCUGUACAUUUGUUGGUAUUUACCUUAAGUUAAAAACAUAAUUUGAAGUUAUUGUCUCUUUCCUGUGCUCACUUUUCUCUCACAUCAAUUUGACUCUUCUUUAAUUUAAAUGACUUGGGCUCAUAGUACUUUCAUUAUUCAUAAGGAAAAUGUCUAGACUACUCACCCAGGAAUUCUCUGUAAUCAUCUUCCAUGCUGCUUAUUAGCACUGUUCAUGGUUCCACUGCAUUCUUUAUGCCUAUCCACUAGACUAGACGGAACUUGAAGACAGGGUUAUACCUGAGUCAUUUAACUCAGUGUCUUCCACAGUGAAUAUUCAGAGACUGAAUAAAUAGGUAAAGUAGAAAAAUAUCUUACUUUCACAUGCAUCCAGAGAAUGUAAACUUCACUUCACGUAAAUAUGAGCUUGCAUACUUAACUGACUUAAAUGAGAAAUACCCCAAUAUGGAUCAGAGAAUAAUCAUCAUUAAUUUAUGUAUCGCGUUUUCAAAGUACCAGGCUGUAAUAACUUAUUCGCUAUUAACUAUGAUCUGAGAAUGUCACAGGAGUGCCUUAUGGAACUCAAAACUAAUUUGAUUGAUAUGAUAAUGCAGUUGAGGUUUUUUUAAACUAUGCAUUCAAUAACAAACACAAACAAAAAGAGAAUGAAAGGUAUUUAGAGUCAUGCCAUUAAGUCAGACAAAUCUCUAUUGAAUAAUGUCAGACAAACUUGCAAUUUCUCCCUAACUGAUUAUUUCCACUAAAUUUUUCAUUGAUUUGAAAUAAAAAAAUAACUUUUUCCAUUCUAAUAUAUUUGCUUUCAUAAUAAUUUCAGCACCUUAGAAAAUGAGUCUAUUUCCUUUCUUUUAAAUAUUCUUAUUAGAUAUUUUCUUCAUUUACAUUUCAAAUGCUAUCCUGAAAGUCCUCUAUACAUUCCCCACACACUGCUCCCCAACCCAACUACUCCCACUUCCCGGCCCUGGCAUUCCCCUGUACUGGGCCAUAUAAUCUUUGUAAGACCAAGGGCCUCUCCUCCCAAUGAUGGUCGACUAGACCAUCUUCGGCUACAUAUGAAGCUAGAGACAGGAGCUCUGGCGGUACUGGUUAGUUCAUAUUGUUGGAGCUGAAGGGGUCUGCAACCCUAUAGGAGGAACAACAAUGUGAGUCUAUUUCUUGUGAGUUUAUGUAUUAUGGGAAAUUUUAUAAAACCACUAAGAACUACAGUGAGAAGAACAUAGAGAGAUUUUCUUUACAACAAUUGACAUAUGUAAGCUAAAAGACCAGUUUUUAAACAAGCGACCACAAUGAUCCAUGCAUUUUAAUUUUAUUAUCCAAAUAAAAAUAUAAGAGUCUAAAUUUGUAUAAAUGCCUGUGGACCAAGAUGACACAGUGGUGCUGAGGUUCCUAGGUCAGUCUGUGUUAGCCACAGGGUUAAAUCUGUAACUCCAUUCAUAUAAACAUUUUCUACUUCAAAGGUAUUAUUCUCAAACUUUAGGGAUUCUUUUAAAAUAGUAACUUCUAAAGUGUGCAUUGUACAAAAGAGAGACCCAUUGGGUCUCUGUAGGAGCUGCCAGCCAUAAAGAAGCUUAAUGUACUAUGAACUAGUAUUUUUAACAUAACUUUUUCAAAUUACCUUUAUAACCUUUUAUGGCAGAAAUAAUGCAAAAAA
RNAcentral lists this long non-coding RNA (2621 nucleotides) under Mus musculus (house mouse). RNAcentral's name for it is "long non-coding RNA chr6:63377404-63380025". The record is from RNAcentral. Lineage: Eukaryota; Metazoa; Chordata; Mammalia; Rodentia; Muridae.